This 203-nucleotide long non-coding RNA is filed under the name Anolis carolinensis (green anole). RNAcentral's name for it is "lncRNA (ENSACAG00000038614.1)". The record is from RNAcentral. Lineage: Eukaryota; Metazoa; Chordata; Lepidosauria; Squamata; Anolidae.
CAGAUCAAAGAGAAAUGAGCUAGAAGAUGCACUGUCCAUUUGUGCUUGAGUUGCUUGGAAUUGCAGAAAUGUGAUGGACUAGUGAAGAAAAUGGCAAAGUUGGAUAUUUACAAGAUGAGAAUGAGAACCUGGGGCAGCCUUGGAAAGUAGGAAUCUUCCAUUAGUUGCUUAAGAUUAUCUUUGCAGACUCUUAUCAGUGUCCU